This 424-nucleotide ribosomal RNA is filed under the name uncultured bacterium. RNAcentral describes it as "partial 16S ribosomal RNA". It matches the Rfam family "Bacterial small subunit ribosomal RNA", at positions 354 to 796 of the family's 1533-position model. The record is from RNAcentral.
GCUAAGAAUAUUCCGCAAUGGACGAAACUCUGAUGCAGCGACGCCGCGUGAGGGAAGACGGUUUUCGGAUUGUAAACCUCUGUCUUCGGGGAAGAUAAUGACGGUACCCGAAGAGGAAGCCACGGCUAACUACGUGCCAGCAGCCGCGGUAAUACGUAGGUGACAAGCGUUGUCCGGAAUUAUUGGGUGUAAAGGGAGCGUAGGCGGAUUCGUAAGUUGAAUGUGAAACCAAUCGGCUCAACCGGUUGUUGCGUUCAAAACUGCGGAUCUUGAGUGAAGUAGAGGCAGGCGGAAUUCCUAGUGUAGCGGUGAAAUGCGUAGAUAUUAGGAGGAACACCAGUGGCGAAGGCGGCCUGCUGGGCUUUUACUGACGCUGAGGCUCGAAAGCGUGGGUAGCAAACAGGAUUAGAUACCCCAGUAGUCC